Molecule: ribosomal RNA, 819 nt
Filed under: uncultured Sphingobacterium sp.
Lineage: Bacteria; Pseudomonadati; Bacteroidota; Sphingobacteriia; Sphingobacteriales; Sphingobacteriaceae
Description: bacterial SSU rRNA
Rfam family: Bacterial small subunit ribosomal RNA
Source: RNAcentral
CACGGGUGCGUAACACGUAUGUAACCUACCUUUGUCAGGGGGAUAGCCUCUCGAAAGAGAGAUUAAGCCCGCAUAACAUGAAGAUGUGGCAUCACAAUUUCAUCAAAUAUUUAUAGGACAAAGGUGGGCAUGCGGAACAUUAGCUAGUUGGUAAGGUAACGGCUUACCAAGGCUACGAUGUUUAGGGGAUCUGAGAGGAUGACCCCCCACACUGGUACUGAGACACGGACCAGACUCCUACGGGAGGCAGCAGUAAGGAAUAUUGGUCAAUGGGCGGAAGCCUGAACCAGCCAUGCCGCGUGCAGGAAGACGGCCCUACGGGUUGUAAACUGCUUUUAUACGGGAAUAAACCUGAUUAUGUAUAAUCAGCUGAAUGUACUGUAAGAAUAAGGAUCGGCUAACUCCGUGCCAGCAGCCGCGGUAAUACGGAGGAUCCGAGCGUUAUCCGGAUUUAUUGGGUCUAAAGGGUGCGUAGGUGGCUUUUUAAGUCAGGGGUGAAAGACGGUAGCUUAACUAUCGCAGUGCCUUUGAUACUGAAGAGCUUGAAUGAACUAGAGGUAGGCGGAAUGUGACAAGUAGCGGUGAAAUGCAUAGAUAUGUCACAGAACACCAAUUGCGAAGGCAGCUUACUAUGGUUUUAUUGACACUGAGGCACGAAAGCGUGGGGAUCAAACAGGAUUAGAUACCCUGGUAGUCCACGCCCUAAACGAUGAACACUCGAUGUUGGCGAUAUACGGUCAGCGUCUAAGCGAAAGCGUUAAGUGUUCCACCUGGGGAGUACGCCCGCAAGGGUGAAACUCAAAGGAAUUGACGGGGGCC